Molecule: ribosomal RNA, 379 nt
Filed under: Dendropsophus cf. mathiassoni ABGD cluster 82
Lineage: Eukaryota; Metazoa; Chordata; Amphibia; Anura; Hylidae
Description: partial large subunit ribosomal RNA
Rfam family: Bacterial large subunit ribosomal RNA
Source: RNAcentral
GCCUGCCCAGUGACUAAGUUCAACGGCCGCGGUAUCCUAACCGUGCGAAGGUAGCGUAAUCACUUGUUCUUUAAAUGAGGACUAGUAUGAAUGGCACCACGAGGGUUAUACUGUCUCCUUUUUUUAAUCAAUGAAACUGAUCUCCCCGUGAAGAAGCGGGGAUAAAUUUAUAAGACGAGAAGACCCUAUGGAGCUUUAAACAAUUAUAGCACUGGCCCACACCUAUUAUUCUUCUGAGAUAUAAUUAUUAUACAGGCCAAUAUGACUAUUAGUUUUAGGUUGGGGUGACCGCGGAGCAAAAAUUAACCUCCACGUUGAACGGAGCUACUCCUGAGCUAAAAACUACAAUUUUAAGCACCAAUAAACUGACAUCAAUUGA